RNAcentral lists this ribosomal RNA (468 nucleotides) under uncultured bacterium. Its description in RNAcentral is "partial 16S ribosomal RNA". It matches the Rfam family "Bacterial small subunit ribosomal RNA", at positions 28 to 507 of the family's 1533-position model. The record is from RNAcentral.
GACGAACGCUGGCGGCGUGCUUAACACAUGCAAGUCGAACGGAAAGGCCCUGCUUUUGUGGGGUGCUCGAGUGGCGAACGGGUGAGUAACACGUGAGUAACCUGCCCUUGACUUUGGGAUAACUUCAGGAAACUGGGGCUAAUACCGGAUAGGAGCUCCUGCUGCAUGGUGGGGGUUGGAAAGUUUCGGCGGUUGGGGAUGGACUCGCGGCUUAUCAGCUUGUUGGUGGGGUAGUGGCUUACCAAGGCUUUGACGGGUAGCCGGCCUGAGAGGGUGACCGGCCACAUUGGGACUGAGAUACGGCGCAGACUCCUACGGGAGGCAGCAGUGGGGAAUAUUGCACAAUGGGCGGAAGCCUGAUACAGCAACGCCGCGUGCGGGAUGACGGCCUUCGAGUUGUAAACCGCUUUCGCCUGUGACGAAGCGUGAGUGACGGUAAUGGGUAAAGAAGCACCGGCUAACUACGUG